This is a long non-coding RNA of Zeugodacus cucurbitae (melon fly), 1083 nucleotides long. RefSeq lists it as uncharacterized. NCBI's taxonomy places the organism in Eukaryota, Metazoa, Arthropoda, Insecta, Diptera, Tephritidae. The transcript is spliced from 5 exons. The record is from RefSeq and is a predicted model, not a curated record.
AGUGCAAGCUAGUUACGAUUGUGCUCUGGCUUUAUAUAAAAAAAGAAAAGGCGAAUCUUUUUAAUGUAGCAACAUUUGCGAAGACAACAGCUAUUUCUACUAGGUUUAUUGCAGGGAAACGCUACUCGAAGGUAAAAGUUGAAUCAGCAAUCAUAUUUCUGGGAGAUCACUUGCAAUUGCAACUAUGACAAUUCAUUUAAUACGCACUUCCGCAUAAGCCGCACAAGUUUUGAGCGGCUCUGUAGCUCACUUUUCAAUUUAAACAAAGUUGACACAAAGUGGCGCAAAGCUAUUUCGUUGCAAAAACGUGUGGCUAACGCUUUAUUUACUUUGGGGUCGUCUGCAGAAUAUAGGGUAGUGUCUGAACUUUUUGCAGUAGGAAUAGCGACGGUGUGCUUAAAUGUAUACGAGUUCUGCAAAGAAGUACCACCAACUCCAGAUUUUUUAGCUGACUGUGUUAAUGGUUUUCACCGUUUGGGCUUCCCACAAUGUCUAGGAGAAAUUGAUGAAUGCCACAAUGAAGUCAAGCCGAGUCCAACAGAUGCAACUGAUUACUAUAAUUACAAAGGGUGGUAUUCUAUUGUUCUACUAGCUGUCGUGGAUUACAGAUAUCGUUUUCUAUAUGUAAAUAUUGGUGCCCCUGGUCGAUGCAAUGAUUCCCAGAUAUAUAACGCAUCACUUUUGAAGCAAAUGAUGGACCACAAUGAACUGCUGACGAACAACAAAAUGGAAAUCGGUGGUAUACAAAUGCCAAUAUGUAUAAUAGGAGAUUCUGCGUUUCGAUUUUCCACCUCUCUAAUGAAGCCAUACGCAUUUUCAUUGGCUUUAACCGAAACCCAAAAACUAUUUAACUACAAGCUAUCAAAAUGCCGCAGAGUUGUAGAGAAUGCCUUUGGCCACUUAAAAGCAGAGAAUGUGAUAAUGCCAUGUUCAUUUUCUUCACUUUUUUUCAUAUAUUUGGUUAUCUCCUCGGAUAAUUGGAUCCGAGAUAUUUGGCGAUGGCGAUGGCGAUGACGAUGGUAGUGGUGAUGGUGUUGGCAGUGGUGAUGGUGAUGACAGUUCUAUAGGGGCUAGUGGCGUACC